GAUGAACGCUGGCGGCGUGCCUAAUACAUGCAAGUCGAGCGGACGGACGAAACUUUUGCUUGGCUUAUGUUAGCGGCGGGCGAGUGAGUCACACGAGUAUACCCGACAUAUAGGAAUAGGAUCACUAAGGGAAAGCGGAUAUAGCACAGGAUGAGAUUGUGAAACGCGGGGUUCAUAGGUGAAAGACGGACUUGCUGUCACUAAUAGAGGUUUCUUGGCUGGACUAGCUAGUUGGUACGGUAACGGCCUACCAAGGCUACGAUGCGUAGCCGAUCUGAGAGGGUGAUCAGCCACACUGGAACUGAGACACGGUCCAGACUCCUACGGGAGGCAGCAGUAGGGAAUCUUGGGCAAUGGGCGAAAGCCUGACGGAGCCACGCCGCGUGAGUGAUGAAGGUCUUCGGAUCGUAAAGCUCUGUUAUUAGGGAAGAACAUCUGUGUGAGUAAAUGUGGCUGUCUUGACGGUACCUACUCAAAAAGCAACGGCUAACUACGUG
This 497-nucleotide ribosomal RNA is filed under the name uncultured bacterium. RNAcentral describes it as "partial 16S ribosomal RNA". It matches the Rfam family "Bacterial small subunit ribosomal RNA", at positions 28 to 507 of the family's 1533-position model. The record is from RNAcentral.